Molecule: long non-coding RNA, 384 nt
Filed under: Equus caballus (horse)
Lineage: Eukaryota; Metazoa; Chordata; Mammalia; Perissodactyla; Equidae
Description: lncRNA (ENSECAG00000053024.1)
Source: RNAcentral
CCGCGUUGGAGUGAAGGCUGCUGAGGGAUACUUGAGCAGACCUGCCAGGUCUCCAAGCCACCUCCUGUGCAACUGGCCCUGGAAUUAGUUUGCUUUUCAUAACUGCUUUUUUUCUUGGCUUCUUCAGGUCCCUGGAGGCCGAAAGUGGCUGCUCUCCCAAGGUGUUCCCUCUAGGCAAGUGGAAGAGACACGGCUCCAGCAAAGAAGUCCUGGGAGUCCUGCAGCUGUCUUGGAGCAGGCCGUCUUUGUCACAGGAAGAACCACUCAAGCGUCCCUUUGACACUGGGUUCUGAGGACAGGGGAAGGCUGGAAGUGUUUGGCUGAGGAAGGGCUGUAGCCAGCAACCCCGAGGGCAGAAACACCUGGAGCAGAGGGAGACCCGGG